Molecule: non-coding RNA, 73 nt
Organism: Ictidomys tridecemlineatus (thirteen-lined ground squirrel)
Lineage: Eukaryota; Metazoa; Chordata; Mammalia; Rodentia; Sciuridae
Source: Rfam
GGAGAUGUAGCUCAGAUGGUAGAGUGCUUGCCUCACACACAUAAAGCCCUGGGUUCAAUCCCCAGCAACACAC